UCUCUCUCACUCACUUAUUGUAUAUUAAUUGAGAGGACUCGUGUCCUGAUCGAAGCUGACGGGAACACAACUACUAUUGGUUGGUAGCUCCUCAUGUUGGAUUGCAAACAGUCCCAGGCUUGAGCUCCUCCUUUGGUGAUUUUAUUUUCUUUUUUCCCUCAUGGUCGAGCUGUCACAUUGUUUGGUGCAGGUUUUUCCAAAUUUUAACUACAAAUUUUCAUUUAUUCAUUGUGAACUGAAGGUUGUUCUGAUCAAAUUUAUCAGUGACACCUUGCUGUCCUGGGUGACAUUUUUUGUCAAUUAGUAGCAUUUCAGCAUUGAUGUCCUGAAGUAUUCAUGUUGUGGAAGGAGAUAAAUCUGAGCUUUAUUAUGAGCUAUACCUUGGGUUUUCUGCUGAUAAAUGUAUAGAAAGAGAAUAUAGUUGAAUCUCUGAGUACAUUAUGUCGAGAGUGGCAAUGUGAACAUUACAAGUCUUGCUACUAUUUUAAUUACGAAGGUGUUGUUACCUGUUACCAAGAUGCAAGCAUACAAAUAAGCUCCUUACUUCUUACGGUAUACUUAUCAUAGUUGCUUCCUUUGAUUUACAGGCAUAUCAACUCCAGAAGAUGUGCACAACGAAGUUAAGGUAACAAGCAUCCUGAAAACUAACUUUUGGUGACACUUGCUACAAAGCCGGGUAUGCAAGAAGGAAGAUGUUUCAUCAUGUUGACCACUAUAGAUUUGAAGUCCAGUUCUGGAGCACUUGAACAUGCGAGGUACCAUGCUCUUUUCAGGAUCUUUGGAUCUUGGAGACAUAUACAGGUCAUAUUGACUACGUAUUUCCUUACAAUUACAAAUGUACCAUACUUGUUGUAAGAUGAACUUCUGGACAAUAUGGCACAUAUAUGAAUUAUGAAGGUUUUUUUGAAAGAUAUGGCAAUAAAUAAUGAUUGCCUAACUUGUUGUCCACAUAAUUUAUGUCACUUCAUACCUAACCAGACCAUUUAUUUCUAAGAUAAGAAAUCUGUGACUAAUCCAACCACUACAGAUUUCUUAUUGUCGAGGUUGGUCCUGGACCAAUUCAUUACUCCGUGAGCAAUUCAUUACACCAUUUAUUGCAUGCUUAAAAUUUCAAUGAGAGGCUAAAUAAGUCGUGUAUCAAAUACUUCUGUUUUCAGAUAUUGUAGAACACUUCUUAUGUACAGUCUGUUUUAACAAGUCCGUCCAGCUCUAGCCUUGUAAAAGUAGGCCAAAAUCAUAUUUCUAAGACUUCUAAGGGAUGGCAUUUUAGUUCAUGUUUCAUAUGCUUUUAGAUAAUUUUCAACUGCGUGCAUUAUGUAUUAAGUGGUACUGCAUAAACUGGUUCAUGUUGUAUCUGAAAGAGUUCUGUAUAAGCCUAAUAACUUUUGCUGUUUGGUUUUCUAGGUGCUUUCGUUAUAUGCACACUUCCUUUCAUGGUCCAAUCUUGGAUAUUACUUGAGUAUCUUAGUGUCAUGUGGAAGAAUGUCCAACUUAGGGGCAGCCAUGUGGAAGGAUGUCCAACUUAGGCGCAGUCAGGUGAAUAGUGAACAUGCUGAUUGUCAAUUAUACAAAUCAACCCAAACUCCAAUAAACUACUCCAUCCCAAAUUACUUGUCUUAGAUUUGUCUAGAUACAAAUCUACGACAUGUAAUUUGGGACGGAGGUUGUAUUUAAUUAGUGAUAUAUAUUUGCCACAAUUUAUUUUGGGACUAUAGUUUUGGAACUUCCGACCAUUCUAUCAUCAAAAUUGACGAACGGAGCAACGCGCGUCAUCAACGAUCUAGUUUUAUUGAAAACUGGUCGGACUUGAGUGAAAUCCAAAUGUCAAUUUUGGAGAAACGCCCGGGACCCAUCCCAGCCCGGCGUGGCCCAGCAACCUGACUAGCCUCCAACGCUGCCCGUUCCGGCUCCCCACUCUCCGGUUCCAGUUCCAUCCCCAUCAGCUGCACUCGAAACGACGGCAGAACCCCUAAAUUCCCCAUCCCAGAUGCCCAGCACUCUCCGCCUGUCCAAUCUCCACACAUGAGGAAGAAGAAGGCGGCGGCGACGGCGCCUGUACCCGCGGCUGCCAAGACGAGAGCGGUGGCAGCGGCCGUAGCCGAGGCCAAGAAGAAGGCGACGGCGGCAGAUGUUGCCAAGAAGAAGAAGACGGUGCCCGCAGCCAAGAAGAAGAAGGCGACGGCGGCACCUGCAGCCAAGAAGCGCGCAUCCGGUGGAACGGACGGGUGCAGGCCACGGAAACGGGCACGGGAUGACAACUGCGACGGCGAUCUCAUCAGCAACCUUCCGGAGGCCGUCCUCUGCACCAUCAUCUCCCUCCUCCCCACCAAGGACGGCGCUCGCACGCAGGCCAUCGCCCGCCGAUGGCGCCCCCUCUGGCGCUCCGCGCCUCUCAACAUCGACGCCCAGAAUCUCAGGACCGGCCGCAGUUUGCCCCUUCGCUGUAAAAAGAAGAACCUCAGCACCAAUAAUUUUCAGCCGUCGUGCCGCUGCCGAGGGCCUCGACCACCGACGGACUCCAUCGUUUCCAGGAUCCUCUCCGACCACCUUGGCCCCGCUCGCUGCUUCGACUUCCGCUUAACCUGCAUCUGCCCGAAAAAAGAAGGGCACGCCCAGAAAAUUGCUCAGAUUGAGAGCUGGUUCCACUCUCGAAGCCCGCACAACCUUCAGGAGCUACAUAUCUUCUUCCCGAUCUUGUGUCGAGCAGCUCGAUACUCCUUGCCAUCAUCCGUGCUCCGCUUCGCAUCGACUGUCGUUGUGGCUACAAUCGGCCACUGCGAUGUCCCAAAAGAGAUCGCUCCUUUACUGAAUUUCCCCCUCCUCAAGCAUCUCACCCUACGGAGCGUUUCCAUGUCAGAGGAUGUCUUCCCUCGGGCGAUCUCCUCCUGCCAUGUGUUGGAGACCCUAUAUCUGCAGGGAAAUGCUUAUAGUGGUCCCUCCACAUUAGCUCGCCAACUCUUAGGAGCAUCGCCUUCAGUCAUUGUUAUGUUGGCAAACAAGAAUUGGUUAUUGAGGACACCCCUCGCCUUCAAAGGCUGCUUUGUCCAUGCUCAGAUAGUUUGAAUAUCCGGGUAAAUAAGGCAGCACCUAAACUGGAGAUAUUUGGCCCUUUGUCACCCCGCACCUCCAAUAUUCAGAUUGCAAAGCUAAUCUUUCAGGGGUUGGUUCCAACCAGCUUGAACAGUUCGAUAUGCACAGUGAAGGUUUUGGCUCUCCAGUUUGCUUGCACUGAUUUGAAUGCAGUUCUUGACGUCCUCAGGUUUUUCCCCUGCUUGGAAAUACUUUAUGUUAUGUGGAACAAAUACUUGAAAGCAGAGAUGAACAAUGUGCGUCAUUGUGAUCCAAUAACUCCAAUCAAAUGCCUUGAGACCCAUCUAAAAAAACUAGUGUUGAAGAAUUACACAGGCGACGAGCAAGAUGUUAGCUUUGCCAAGUUCUUUGUUCUG
Triticum aestivum (bread wheat) is the source of this 3446-nucleotide RNA transcript. RefSeq lists it as uncharacterized. The transcript has 5 exons. Lineage: Eukaryota; Viridiplantae; Streptophyta; Magnoliopsida; Poales; Poaceae. The record is from RefSeq and is a predicted model, not a curated record.